CGGCGAUCAACUAUCUGCAUAAAGGUAAUGUGUUCUGAACACAUAAUGGUAAAUUAUUUACUGUUCAAAUUUGAAUUUCAAAUUUAAAUGUAUGCAUGCUAUAUAUCAUAUUUAGAUCCUAGUAUAGGAUAAAUAUAUGUUAAUUAAUUAGAUUAAUUAAUAAUUUUUACUGUAAAAUAAUGAUUUUGAAAAAGUUUUAAAAUUAUCAUUUUACCCCUACACUAAAAAUUCACUUCAGAUAGGACGUAAGCCAGUACUCUCUCACAUUAGAGUUUGGGGAUAUCCGGCUUAUGUCAAAUAUUUGAAAACUGACAAGCUUGGACC
RNAcentral lists this long non-coding RNA (324 nucleotides) under Elaeis guineensis (African oil palm). RNAcentral describes it as "long non-coding RNA (EGUI_LNC064557)". Lineage: Eukaryota; Viridiplantae; Streptophyta; Magnoliopsida; Arecales; Arecaceae. The record is from RNAcentral.